AUUGAACGCUGGCGGCAGGCCUAACACAUGCAAGUCGAGCGGAUGAAGCGAGCUUGCUCCUGGAUUCAGCGGCGGACGGGGGAGUAAUGCCUAGGAAUCUGCCUGCUCUUGGGGGAGAACGUCCUGAAACGGGCGCGGAUACUGCAUACGUCCUGAGGCAGAAAGUGGGUGAUCUUCGGACCUCACGCUAUCAUGUGAGCCUAGGUCGGAUUGGCUAGUUGGUUGGGUAAAGGCCUACCAAGGCGAGGAUUCGUAACUGAUCGGACAGGAUGGUCGGUCACAUGGGAGGUUAGACACGGUCCAGACUCCUGCGGGAGGGCGCAGUCGGGAAUAUUGGGCAAUGGGGGAGAGCCUGAUCCAAGGAUGGGGCGUCUGUGACGAAGGUGUCCGGAUCGGAAAGCCCUUCAAGUUGGGGGGAAGCGCAGUAAGUUAAGACGUUGCGGUAUUGACGUUACUAACAGAAGAAGCACCGGCUAACUUCGUG
Molecule: ribosomal RNA, 484 nt
Filed under: uncultured bacterium
Lineage: Bacteria
Description: partial 16S ribosomal RNA
Rfam family: Bacterial small subunit ribosomal RNA
Source: RNAcentral